AAAAACUUUCAACAACGGAUCUCUUGGUUCUGGCAUCGAUGAAGAACGCAGCGAAAUGCGAUAAGUAAUGUGAAUUGCAGAAUUCAGUGAAUCAUCGAAUCUUUGAACGCACAUUGCGCCCUCUGGUAUUCCGGGGGGCAUGCCUGUUCGAGCGUCAUU
Molecule: ribosomal RNA, 159 nt
Filed under: Pyxine sorediata
Lineage: Eukaryota; Fungi; Ascomycota; Lecanoromycetes; Caliciales; Caliciaceae
Also listed under: 4 other names
Description: 5.8S ribosomal RNA
Rfam family: 5.8S ribosomal RNA
About the family: 5.8S ribosomal RNA (5.8S rRNA) is a component of the large subunit of the eukaryotic ribosome.
Source: RNAcentral